Long non-coding RNA from Macaca mulatta (Rhesus monkey), 1392 nucleotides. RefSeq lists it as uncharacterized. Lineage: Eukaryota; Metazoa; Chordata; Mammalia; Primates; Cercopithecidae. The record is from RefSeq and is a predicted model, not a curated record.
UUUAAAAACUAUGAAAUCAAAUUGAAAAGAGAUUUACAUAAAAGAUGGAGGUCUUAAAAUUUCUCAGAUAAUUUGAAUAAGCCUUCAAAUAAUCACCAGAUUCAGUGUAUGAUAUUCCUACUUAAGCUUAUUUUCUAGUAACUAUCCCUGGUAAUUUGAAAUAAUGAUCUACUGAAAGGGGCAAAGGAGAAAAAAAAAUAGACUCUAGAGUUUUGUCUAUGAAGGAUCUUUAUGAUUGGCUUAUUAGCACAUGAAAUUGACUUGAAAGAAAUACAUCCAAAGUCUAUUAAGUUUUUGAGGAAAUUGUUUUUUCAAUUUCCUCAAAAUUCUCCUGAGCUAGGAGAACUCCUCCUAGCUCAAAAAACUCCUGAGCUACGAGGAAAAAUGCACUCAAAACAAUCCUCUGGCUCCUACAUUUUCAUAAGAAAGAAACAACCAGUGUAAGAUGGAUAGUUCCCAAGGGUAAAGAACAAGCAAGUGUUUCCCAGGGAGCAGAACCUGAGGUCAUGGAGAACAAUAAACAAGGAAGUAACUUUUGGUCAGGAAUGUGGGUCUCAUUAAAGAACUUUCCCCACAGUAGAGCAAAUCAGGUGUGUCUCAGUAGGGGUGCUUUGUAAGACCUAUCCAGCAGGAUUGUAUGGUUAUUAUUAAGAGGGGUGUGUUCCGUGUUCUUUUUUCCCUUUCUUAAAUGUUACUUUUCUGCUAUAGUUAUCUUAUCCCUGCUCUACCACUGACAACAUACGUAAGACUGAUUGUUUUUAUAUCAUGCUUUGCAGGACCACAACAACCACUCCCAGUCAUGAUGGAGAGGAGUGUUCAAUACCCACAGAUCCUGAAUUUUGAGCUGAUUAUACUAAAUAGAUGGGACUUAGUUUUGUCUGCCAUGGGGUGAGCAUAUACUACCUGAGGGAACAGUGGAAUGGAGAAGACUGCCAGAGAAGUCUUAGAUGGCAUAGGGUGAAGAUGGCAGAGUAUCUGUUGGCCAUUUGGAGGAGGAUUGUUCUCUGAUCUGUUUACUCUUGUAAACAAGCAAUACAUUUCCAAUAUGUGCUAUUUCAUAUUUUGAGUUCAUUUGUUGCAGUAGCUAGUUGAUCUUGCCAAAUAAAAGCAAGAUUAUUGAAGAAGUAACAGUAAAUACAUGUAUUAAUGAAUUUAUCCUGAAUGAAACAUCAUUUACUUCUAGCUUUACAUUAUUGUUUGUAAUCAAUUUUAUAAUAAUACUGUUAUAACUAUGUGGUCCUAAUUCAAUGUUCAAAUCGCCCAAAUUAUUUUUUAUGGUGAAAAUAGUAAGUUUUAACUGAAAUAAUUAAAUUCAACAUAAAAACUGCUAAAUAAAGGAAUAUUUCUGGCUUAUGUCAUGAUCUAUUAAAGUGCAUUUUAUAUCAUCAGGAA